Molecule: ribosomal RNA, 238 nt
Filed under: uncultured bacterium
Lineage: Bacteria
Description: partial 16S ribosomal RNA
Rfam family: Bacterial small subunit ribosomal RNA
Source: RNAcentral
CGGCGGACGGGUGAGUAACGCAUGGGUAACCUGCCUCAUACAGGGGGAUAACAGUUGGAAACGGCUGCUAAUACCGCAUAAGCGCACAGUACCGCAUGGUACGGUGUGAAAAACUCCGGUGGUAUGAGACGGACCCGCGUCUGAUUAGGUAGUUGGUGGGGUAACGGCCUACCAAGCCGACGAUCAGUAGCCGACCUGAGAGGGUGACCGGCCACAUUGGGACUGAGACACGGCCCAA